RNAcentral lists this ribosomal RNA (626 nucleotides) under uncultured Mannheimia sp. RNAcentral's name for it is "bacterial SSU rRNA". It matches the Rfam family "Bacterial small subunit ribosomal RNA", at positions 337 to 957 of the family's 1533-position model. The record is from RNAcentral. Lineage: Bacteria; Pseudomonadati; Pseudomonadota; Gammaproteobacteria; Pasteurellales; Pasteurellaceae.
UCCUACGGGAGGCAGCAGUGGGGAAUAUUGCACAAUGGGGGGAACCCUGAUGCAGCCAUGCCGCGUGAAUGAAGAAGGCCUUCGGGUUGUAAAGUUCUUUCGGUGACGAGGAAGGCGAUUGUUUUAAUAGAACAGUCGAUUGACGUUAAUCACAGAAGAAGCACCGGCUAACUCCGUGCCAGCAGCCGCGGUAAUACGGGGGGUGCGAGCGUUAAUCGGAAUAACUGGGCGUAAAGGGCACGCAGGCGGUUGUUUAAGUGAGGUGUGAAAGCCCCGGGCUUAACCUGGGAAUUGCAUUUCAGACUGGACAACUAGAGUACUUUAGGGAGGGGUAGAAUUCCACGUGUAGCGGUGAAAUGCGUAGAGAUGUGGAGGAAUACCGAAGGCGAAGGCAGCCCCUUGGGAAUGUACUGACGCUCAUGUGCGAAAGCGUGGGGAGCAAACAGGAUUAGAUACCCUGGUAGUCCACGCCGUAAACGCUGUCGAUUUGGGGAUUGGGCUUUAAGCUUGGUGCCCGUAGCUAACGUGAUAAAUCGACCGCCUGGGGAGUACGGCCGCAAGGUUAAAACUCAAAUGAAUUGACGGGGGCCCGCACAAGCGGUGGAGCAUGUGGUUUAAUUCGAUGC